GACGAACGCUGGCGGCGUGCUUAACACAUGCAAGUCGAACGGUGAAGCGCCUUCCUUUUUGGUGGGUGUGGAUGAGUGGCGAACGGGUGAGUAACACGUUAGUAACCUGCCCCCUUCUUCUGGAUAACCGCAUGAAAGUGUGGCUAAUACGGGAUAUUCUGGGUCUGUCGCAUGAUGGGUCUGGGAAAGUUAUUGUUUCGGUGGGGGAUGGGCGCGCGGCCUAUCUGCUUGUUGGUGGGGUGAUGGCCUACCAAGGCGGUGAGGGGUGGCCGGCCUGAGAGGGUGGGCGGCCACACUGGGGCAGUGAGACGGGCACGAGUCGUAUAGGAGGCAGAGGAGUGGAGUAUUGCACAAUAGGCGCAAGCGUGAUGCAGCGACGCGGCGUGAGGGAUGUAGGCCUGCGGGUUGUGAACCUCUUUCGCUAGUGAAGCAGGCCUGCCUUGUUUGUGGGUGGGUUGACGGUAGCUGAAGAAGAAGCGCCGGCUAACUACGUG
This 494-nucleotide ribosomal RNA is filed under the name uncultured bacterium. RNAcentral describes it as "partial 16S ribosomal RNA". It matches the Rfam family "Bacterial small subunit ribosomal RNA", at positions 28 to 507 of the family's 1533-position model. The record is from RNAcentral.